Xylariaceae sp. FL1019 is the source of this 93-nucleotide non-coding RNA. NCBI's taxonomy places the organism in Eukaryota, Fungi, Ascomycota, Sordariomycetes, Xylariales, Xylariaceae. The record is from the annotation of a GenBank genome assembly.
GCCUCUAUGGCACAGGGGUAAUGCGUGUCACUCGUAAACUUUCCAGUUGCGAAUGCAAUGACAAGAUCCGCGGUUCGAUUCCGCGUGGAGGCA